This 464-nucleotide ribosomal RNA is filed under the name uncultured bacterium. RNAcentral describes it as "partial 16S ribosomal RNA". It matches the Rfam family "Bacterial small subunit ribosomal RNA", at positions 339 to 795 of the family's 1533-position model. The record is from RNAcentral.
CUACGGGUCGCACCAGUGGGGAAUAUUGGACAAUGGGGGCAACCCUGAUCCAGCCAUGCCGCGUGUGUGAAGAAGGCCUUUUGGUUGUAAAGCACUUUAAGCAGUGAAGAAGACCUAACGGUUAAUACCCGUUAGCGAUGACAUUAGCUGCAGAAUAAGCACCGGCUAACUCUGUGCCAGCAGCCGCGGUAAUACAGAGGGUGCAAGCGUUAAUCGGAAUUACUGGGCGUAAAGCGAGCGUAGGUGGCUUGAUAAGUCAGAUGUGAAAUCCCCGGGCUUAACCUGGGAACUGCAUCUGAUACUGUUAAGAUAGAGUAGGUGAGAGGGAAGUAGAAUUCCAGGUGUAGCGGUGAAAUGCGUAGAGAUCUGGAGGAAUACCGAUGGCGAAGGCAGCUUCCUGGCAUCAUACUGACACUGAGGCUCGAAAGUGUGGGUAGCAAACAGGAUUAGAUACCCGUGUAGUC